Long non-coding RNA from Sinocyclocheilus rhinocerous, 93 nucleotides. RefSeq lists it as uncharacterized. NCBI's taxonomy places the organism in Eukaryota, Metazoa, Chordata, Actinopteri, Cypriniformes, Cyprinidae. The transcript has 3 exons. The record is from RefSeq and is a predicted model, not a curated record.
AAAUGUCAAUUUUUUGUGCGUUCCACAUAUUAGGUAUAGCUAUGUUUAUUAAUUUAUUUCAUUGUUAAAAGGUACAAAUACAGGCAUCAUGUU